UCAAGGGCCCGAAUUUCCAUGGGCUGCCAAUCAUAAUUAAAAGGAAUGUGGCAGUUCAGGAAGGUCGCGGCAGCAAGGAUCUCCCUGAAUAAACACCGGGUCCCAGCUGAAAACCACUCCAAAGGCUCCGAGUGAUAAAACCACCGGCAUCUACACGGGAGAUGCUUCCCACCUUGCCAAUCAGGAAGCCACUAAUCUGGAAUGUGAUGGGAGAAGUACCAGCAGUAGGCAGUGAAGCUUCCACCCCCAAAAGGGUUUAAAAUAAGACACUGGGAGCAUGACACCAGCUGCCAAAGCUGCAGCCUCCCUCUCCCCCCCCAGCAGAGCAGCCCAGGAAUGCGGCCAGGAAUGCAGCCGGGGCUGGGAUGCAGCAGCCCGCAGCCGCACACCAGCUUCCCAGGAGCGGUUCCCUCCCGACCACAGCCUGACAUAAUGGACAGGCAGCUCCUGCAUCAACACUGACAGCCCCGGCAGAGGGGAAAGCUCCUUCCCGUGUUUCUCCUGGGGGCUCUUCCAGCCUCCACAUCCCCUGAGGGGGGAUUCGGUGCUGGCCAUGACUCUUGCUGCUGCGGUGAGCGGGGUUUGGAGAGCAGAGCACUGGGUCCGGCUCGCACCAGGGACCUGCAUGUCCAGGGCGGCCACAGGCACUUGGCAUGUGCUGGUAAUGCAAUGUGAUGUCCAGCCCCAUGCUCCCCUUCAGACCCGCACAGAGGCAGGGUAAUGCACUCGCUGCCUUCAGAGAGGGUUUGCUCUAAAUGUAUUUAAAACCUAGAGGUUUAACUGCCUCUGCGGGGAUGGGGCUUCAGAGGCAGAACCGAAACUCAACAGGAACAGUGCUGGAACUGUGAGCUUGAUUGAAAAACUGCUCUGUGCCGUCAUUUCCUCUGCAGGCAGAGCCCCUCAAACAGCCUGGGACCGGCACGGUAGUGCUGAAAACAAACUGGAGCAAACAAAAGGCAUUUUGUGCCCACUCUUGUCUUCAGCCGUGCAGCCUCACGUGUGGAGGCACCUGGCAGGAGCCUUACCCGAGCAAAGGACUUCAGGAGCAUUUACUGCGCUGCAGAAACAUCCAGCAAAAGCCCUAGAACUCAGUGCCCCCCCAUGACCUGUCAGCAUGGGAAAGGCCUCUGGUUGCUGCAGCAGAGCUGGGGGCAUCUCUGGUGAGGGGU
Molecule: long non-coding RNA, 1169 nt
Organism: Pezoporus flaviventris
Lineage: Eukaryota; Metazoa; Chordata; Aves; Psittaciformes; Psittacidae
Exons: 3
Source: RefSeq, a predicted model, not a curated record